UACGGAGGGAGCUAGCGUUGUUCGGAAUUACUGGGCGUAAAGCGCACGUAGGCGGCUACUCAAGUCAGAGGUGAAAGCCCAGGGCUCAACCUUGGAACUGCCUUUGAAACUAGGUAGCUAGAAUUCUGGAGAGGUCAGUGGAAUUCCGAGUGUAGAGGUGAAAUUCGUAGAUAUUAGGAAGAACACCGGUGGCGAAGGCGGCCCACUGGUCCGGUACUGACGCUGAGGUGCGAAAGCGUGGGGAGCAAACAGG
Molecule: ribosomal RNA, 253 nt
Filed under: uncultured bacterium
Lineage: Bacteria
Description: partial 16S ribosomal RNA
Rfam family: Bacterial small subunit ribosomal RNA
Source: RNAcentral